CCUACGGGAGGCAGCAGUAGGGAAUUUUCCGCAAUGGGCGAAAGCCUGACGGAGCAAUACCGCGUGAGGGAUGACUGCCUAUGGGUUGUAAACCUCUUUUUUCAGGGAGGAAUAAAUGACGUGUACCUGAAGAAUAAGCAUCGGCUAACUCCGUGCCAGCAGCCGCGGUAAGACGGAGGAUGCAAGUGUUAUCCGGAAUCACUGGGCGUAAAGCGUCUGUAGGUGGCUCAACAAGUCAACUGUUAAAUCUUGAAGCUCAACUUCAAAAUCGCAGUCGAAACUAUUGAACUAGAGUAUAGUAGAGGUAAAGGGAAUUUCCAGUGGAGCGGUGAAAUGCGUAGAGAUUGGAAAGAACACCAAUGGCGAAGGCACUUUACUGGGCUAUUACUGACACUCAGAGACGAAAGCUAGGGUAGCAAAUGGGAUUAGAUACCCCAGUAGUCCUAGCCGUAAACAAUGGAUACUAGGUGUUGAACAGAUCGACCUGUGNAUACUAAGACUACGACGUAGUAUCCGUCCGUCGGUAGUAUGCACGCGAGUAGUAGUAACGUUAAAGGUAAAGUUAGUACGGACGUGAGACGUGCCGAACGGACGACGACGAGGGAGGUAGG
Molecule: ribosomal RNA, 611 nt
Filed under: uncultured bacterium
Lineage: Bacteria
Description: bacterial SSU rRNA
Rfam family: Bacterial small subunit ribosomal RNA (bases 1-518)
Source: RNAcentral